Small nuclear RNA from Cavia aperea (Brazilian guinea pig), 143 nucleotides. Its record names the gene U4. It matches the Rfam family "U4 spliceosomal RNA". From Rfam's summary of the family: U4 small nuclear RNA (U4 snRNA) is a component of the major U2-dependent spliceosome. The structure of U4 snRNA from yeast and human has been reported. NCBI's taxonomy places the organism in Eukaryota, Metazoa, Chordata, Mammalia, Rodentia, Caviidae. The record is from Ensembl.
AGCUUUGAACUGGUAAUAUCAUAACCAACGAGGUUUAUCUGAGGUACGAUUAUUGCUAAUUGGAAAGAAUUUUCUAGGCUCUGCUUGAGCACUUUUCGUGUUCUCCCAGCCAUCUGAAACGUCCUUGUUUUCCAGAUGAGGAA